UUGUGAGUCACUGAAAAACCAGCAAGCACACUUCCCUGCACAGGCUGCACACAACCUUCCUGAUCCUGGUGCAGGCAUAAGGAGUAGUCAACUCUAAAUGCUGAGGCAAAGUCUAGGGAGAUGCCCCAGGAACACGUUACAACAGAAGGUAGCAGUCAGAGUACUGGAGACCACUUGGCACGUGUAUGUAAGGACACACAUAGAAGGGUGAAAUGAAUGCCACAGAUAUUACUGAGAAGAAAAUUAAUCGCUCAUGAAGAAGAAAAUUGAAGAGAAGAGGAACAGCCAUAAAGGGAGAUACUCAAGCAUUUAUAAAUCUAAGCAUUUCAAAAAUAUCUUAAACAAUUUAUUGAUAAAAAUGUAUUUGAUCAAAUGCACAACUCUUUCUCUCUAAACUAUAGCAACCAGACGUUUCUUUUAAAAAUAACUCUUUGGGUUUUCCUUCCUUUAGGCAGAGAGAAUAAAGAACAAAAGCUAUUUCCUUUUUUCAUGCUGGUUUUAUUCCAGGCCAGGAUUUGCCACUGUGACUAAUGAUGCUUAUCACAUGCUGUCUCACAGUGGUGAGAUCACAAACCAUUAUCACCACUGAAGUGCUGAAAUACAGCAAACGCAGCCACACAAGUUGAACACAAUUUAAUUUCACUGACAAAGGAGACAAUACUUUUUCUUCAAAACCACCUGCCCAGACUGAAAUUUACUUAUCAUUUACAAUGUCCCAGAAUCAAAUAAAAUAGAAGAGACUCAGAUGGCCCUCCUGUUCUGAGGAGGACAAUUAAAGGUAUUAGUGCCAAGGUAAAUUAAUACAUUGUAGAUUCAGGGAUAUGACAUCAAUACAGAACCUAGAUUGACAAAUAUUCAGAUAAGCGAUUUAUAAGCUUCAGAAGGACAGUAGCAGUGCUGGUUGUGCCUGUCCUACUCUGAACAGGUACAGCAGUCAUCAAAGCCCAGGGUACCAGCCACCGGCAACAAUGUGCUAUAGUGUCAUCCCAGAAAAUAUCACUUACACAGGGUGCCUUCUGGCAGACCAGGUAUUCUCCAGCUGUUUGAAUGUAACAACAAGAGCAUGAAACAGAAGUGCUCUGGGUAAAGGCACCGAUUAACUCAGUUGAUUAACAGAACAAAAAUUAGAAAAAAAAAAAACAAAUAAAAGUUUAUAAAAACUAUGAGUUUCUGUUACGUCACCAACUAGCACCUCUGCCUUAUCCAUUCUGAAGCCGAGACACUGCAAAGCAUAUCAAAACAAAUCCAGGCUGCACUUCCUGAAAUCUUCAGAACAGGAUCAUAAUUUCUGAAUGAUUUGUCAGAUGUGAGCAUGGCAACAAUAGUAGUUGUUGCUUUGUAUCGUGAAAUAUAGAAGGGGAAAAUUAACAUUUACAGCUAGAAGUCCUAACCAAAGAGUGUAAUCAUUACAGUGCCCUGGGCUGGCCUGACGUCAGAUCCUCAUGCCCUAUUCCCAGUGCAUUUUCAGAAAAAUCCUGAUGCUAUACAUGCCUAUGCUAAUCUUGACACUUGUUUAAACAGCAGAGCUGAAGUCCCAAAGGCAUAUGAGUAGUAACACUCAUCAAGCACAGCCAGGAGAAAAAAGCAUUUAAUUCAUAAAUACGAAAUGACAGCACUGUCAGUAAAACGAAGUAACUUUUUGUAAUGUUCAAGUUAAUCUCAUGUUUCUCCCAACUCUUUGAACCCCACUUCUUCAAUUUUUCAUGGUAUAUGGAAGAAAGAAAAAUUACUCUUGACAGCAGUGAGGAAGGAACACACUGUAAUGCCAAUCAAUGCAGGAUAACAUUUUCUUUAAUACUUUUCUUUGUAGGCUUUGCCGAAAUCUCAAGGCAAAGUGUUUGCCCCAAUUUUAUUUAAAUAAAUCAUUUCAAGCAAAGUGGAAAGACUUGAAGCAGAAACCUCAAAUGAGGCAAACUCUCCCAAAGACAGUGUCACCCUUUACAGCCUGGGUGGAAACACAAUGCUUACUCACAGCAGGAUAGGAAUCCCAAAUAGAAGCUCCAGAGACACCAGUCCUGAGUAAUUAAUGUACAGGUUUCAGCAGCAUCACUGGUACCCUAACAGAAUGAGCUCAAAUUGAAGAGGGGAGAGUGCAGACACGUUUUUGUUUGUUUCUUGGUUGUUGUUGUUGUUUUAAUAAACUGAAAACAUCUUAGCUUUUAACCAGCCACUGCGGUCAAAAGUAAGGUGGCUCUGAGCUCCCCAAGGAGCUGAAGGACAAGGGAGGAGCCUCCGAAGACUGAUAUAGGCUUUGUGCUAGAGCUAAUGUGCUUUGAGGAUAAUGGCCUUGCUGUAAAUAGCCAUGCUUCUCUGCCCUUCCCUCCUGGACCAUGCCAUCAGACCAGUAAUGUUUGUCUGUACCUGUUCUCCAGGUUAUCCCAAGCAUCCUCUGUGGAGUCAUCCUCUUGUUAUCCUCCAGUGCCUGAAUCAAUUGGGUCAUUCCCACUUAGGCUAUGUCAGAAAAUGGGACAUACACUCUACCCUUCAGGCUAGAGAGAACAUGUCAUUUAGAGAAACAACAUUCCAGAAUAAGAAUUAAAUGCAGUUUACUAUGGGAUGAAAAACAUGAAAAGAUUGCAUCUUUGGAGUAAGGAAACAAUAUGUUAAUCUCACUGUUGAACUAAAAAACAAGUCAUGAAGUUUCCCAACAACACUGGGCAGAGAUCUUUAAUUAGUUCAUAAAACAUUUUACUGAAAUAGAAGUUUAUCUGCAUACCAAAGCAAAAGGUGCUCAUUAAUUGCAUGUCAUUAAGUGCAAGUUGUUUUGUAAUUAGUAAAAAUUACUACAGGCAAGGUUGAUUCAGACAAGAACUGCACCUAGGUGAGUGUCGUAUUUCUGUCAGCAGCGAGUCUGCUGAAAAUACAGAGAAGAAAUUGGAAACUCAGUCAUGACCCAUGGGGACAGGCAGUCAGACAAUGCAUUCCAACCUAUCCGAAUGAGCACUAGGAAGGAAUCUGAUCAAACACAAAUAAUGAAUGCUUUUGCUAUAAAUGACUGUGUUAGCCAAAUGGAAAACUAAAAAAGUUUGAAAGUUUCACACAAAUAAAUUCUUUUCUUUGCACUGAAUCGACACUGUACUCCCACUCCUUCACGAAGGAAGUUAAGAGCUUCUUUAUAUUUCAAGCCUACUCUGUUUUUCUCAACAAAAUAUAAAUGAAAAGGCCGUGUGAAUUAUUAACAGAUGUCAACAGAGAGCUAGCCAGGUCUUUCAAACACUUCUGCUCUUCUUCCUACAUGAAUUCCCUAAUUGUGAUUGCAAAAUAUGUCUUCUUACUCCUUCCAUACUUUAAAUCCAUAAUUAGAGCUGAUCAAAUAGCUUUUUAAGGAAUAAAAAUUCUUUUACAUUCCUUCCUCUUUUCUUUUCCUAGCAGAAAACAUUUUUCCUUUUCCCCAUUUAAUACCUUUCCAGUAGCGCAAGCUCAUGUGGGGCAUCACGGAGUCCAAUGGAAACAGAUAUUAUUUAAUUCUGAAUAGAAACAGACAUAUAAUCACAAAAUCUGAAAACAGACUGAAGCUUUUGUCAUGCUAAGAUGUUAACCAUUGGCUCGAGUUAAAAACAAAUCCUGUUCAUUGUAAACAUUUGGACCAUCCCUCUCCCCCAUCUCCAAGAAACCCCCCAAAACACAGCCAACAAAGAGGUGAGCAGAAGGACAUCACAUUGAUCCAGCACCAUCAACUGCUUCAGAGCAUGCUUGGUAUUUACACAUACAUACAGAUUUAAUACUGCUUCAGUCCAUUUACAUCAUUUAACUCAAACUCUGAAUUUGUCAAAUGAUCACUGCAAAUCCAAUGCAAGAAAUAAAAAUGAAAUAACAUAAGUCAGUAUCAGUGCAACUGGCAGGUGAUAAUAUAUGACAACUAAUGCAGAUAAAAACGAUUGAAAUCACAGCUACAAUAGCAAGCUUUAAAAACAGCAACCUUUUUGACAACUUUGAAAAGGAAUCAGGAUGAUCCUAAAUGAACACUUAUCUAUUAACUUCAAAAUUUAAAUCCAUAAAUUCAUAACUUUCAUAAAUUAGGACCAUUUUAAAAGGUAAGGUAAAGCACAGCAUCUGACAUAACAUAAAAUGGGGGAGUCAAGUUUGCCACUGUGGUGCAGAUAGUUCCCAGUGAUGCUACAGGGAAUUACCUGCAAAAAUAUAAAACAGGAUAACCUCUGAGAUUUGGAUUUGACUCCACUGCAUACACAUGCUGUUCAUUAUGCCUGCCAAGAAAUGGACAAAAGCAGCACACACAUUAGCAGCAGCUCCUGCUUAAAAACAAUAAGCACAACACAUCAUCCCCUUAGCCAGCUCCCCAAUGAAAGUACUUCAGACUAAGCCACACAAAAAUUAACAGUGAGCUUUUGAAUGACAGGACACCAUGUGCUCCAUAAUCUACAGAACCAGUGAAGUACUUACAAGGUUUCUUAAAUAAAUUGAUCAUCCCUACAAUUUCAGAUGAAGUCAGAGAAACUCCAAACUUGA
Molecule: long non-coding RNA, 4467 nt
Organism: Numida meleagris (helmeted guineafowl)
Lineage: Eukaryota; Metazoa; Chordata; Aves; Galliformes; Numididae
Exons: 3
Source: RefSeq, a predicted model, not a curated record